UNCACGCCGUAAACGAUGAGUGCUAGGUGUUAGGCCCUUUCCGGGGCUUAGUGCCGGAGCUAACGCAAUAAGCACUCCGCCUGGGGAGUACGACCGCAAGGUNGAAACUCAAAGGAAUUGACGGGGGCCCGCACAAGCGGUGGAGCAUGUGGUUUAAUUCGAAGCAACGCGAAGAACCUUACCAGGUCUUGACAUCCCGAUGCUAUUCUUAGAGAUAGGAAGUUACUUCGGUACAUCGGAGACAGGUGGUGCAUGGUUGUCGUCAGCUCGUGUCGUGAGAUGUUGGGUUAAGUCCCGCAACGAGCGCAACCCUUAUUGCUAGUUGCCAUCAUUAAGUUGGGCACUCUAGCGAGACUGCCGGUAAUAAACCGGAGGAAGGUGGGGAUGACGUCAAAUCAUCAUGCCCCUUAUGACCUGGGCUACACACGUGCUACAAUGGUCGGUACAACGAGUUGCGAGCCGGUGACGGCAAGCUAAUCUCUGAAAGCCGAUCUCAGUUCGGAUUGGAGGCUGCAACUCGCCUCCA
Molecule: ribosomal RNA, 526 nt
Filed under: uncultured bacterium
Lineage: Bacteria
Description: bacterial SSU rRNA
Rfam family: Bacterial small subunit ribosomal RNA
Source: RNAcentral